Molecule: ribosomal RNA, 488 nt
Filed under: uncultured bacterium
Lineage: Bacteria
Description: partial 16S ribosomal RNA
Rfam family: Bacterial small subunit ribosomal RNA
Source: RNAcentral
GACGAACGCUGACGGCGUGCUUAACACAUGCAAGUCGAACGCGCCUGUCCUCUGGGUUUCUGGGGGGUGGGUGAGUGGCGAACGGGUGAGUAACACGUGAGUAACCUGCCCCCUUCUUCGGGAUAACGGUCUGAAAGGGCUGCUAAUACCGGGUAUUCACUGGUCUCCGCAUGGGGUCUGGUGGAAAGGUUUUUUUCUGGUGGGGGAUGGGCUCGCGGCCUAUCAGCUUGUUGGUGGGGUGAUGGCCCACCAAGGCUUUGACGGGUAGCCGGCCUGAGAGGGUGACCGGUCACAUUGGGACUGAGAUACGGCCCAGACUCCUACGGGAGGCAGCAGUGGGGAAUAUUGCACAAUGGGCGCAAGCCUGAUGCAGCGACGCCGCGUGAGGGAUGGAGGCCUUCGGGUUGUGAACCUCUUUCGCCCGUGGUCAAGCCGCGACGUGGGUCGUGGUGAGGGUAGUGGGUAAAGAAGCGCCGGCUAACUACGUG